Molecule: ribosomal RNA, 441 nt
Filed under: uncultured bacterium
Lineage: Bacteria
Description: bacterial SSU rRNA
Rfam family: Bacterial small subunit ribosomal RNA
Source: RNAcentral
UGGGGAAUCUUCCGCAAUGGGCGAAAGCCUGACGGAGCAAUGCCGCGUGAGUGAAGAAGGCCUUCGGGUUGUAAAACUCUGUCCUUAUCGAAGAGAGGUGGGUAUGUGAAUAAUGUACUCAUAGGACGGUAGAUAAGGAGGAAGCCCCGGCUAACUACGUGCCAGCAGCCGCGGUAAUACGUAGGGGGCGAGCGUUGUCCGGAAUCACUGGGCGUAAAGGGCGCGUAGGCGGUUUAAUAAGUCAGUGGUGAAAACUGAGGGCUCAACCCUCAGCCUGCCACUGAUACUGUUAGACUUGAGUAUGGAAGAGGAGAAUGGAAUUCCUAGUGUAGCGGUGAAAUGCGUAGAUAUUAGGAGGAACACCAGUGGCGAAGGCGAUUCUCUGGGCCAAGACUGACGCUGAGGCGCGAAAGCGUGGGGAGCAAACAGGAUUAGAUACCC